Molecule: ribosomal RNA, 253 nt
Filed under: uncultured bacterium
Lineage: Bacteria
Description: partial 16S ribosomal RNA
Rfam family: Bacterial small subunit ribosomal RNA
Source: RNAcentral
UACGUAGGUGGCAAGCGUUGUCCGGAUUUACUGGGCGUAAAGGAUGCGUAGGCGGAUGUUUAAGUGAGAUGUGAAAUACCCGAGCUCAACUUGGGUGCUGCAUUUCAAACUGGAUAUCUAGAGUGCAGGAGAGGAAAGCGGAAUUCCUAGUGUAGCGGUGAAAUGCGUAGAGAUUAGGAAGAACACCAGUGGCGAAGGCGGCUUUCUGGACUGUAACUGACGCUGAGGCGCGACAGCGUGGGGAGCAAACAGG